RNAcentral lists this ribosomal RNA (502 nucleotides) under uncultured bacterium. Its description in RNAcentral is "partial 16S ribosomal RNA". It matches the Rfam family "Bacterial small subunit ribosomal RNA", at positions 30 to 523 of the family's 1533-position model. The record is from RNAcentral.
AUUGAACGCUGGCGGCAGGCUUAACACAUGCAAGUCGAGCGGGGUGAUGGUGCUUGCACUAUCACUUAGCGGCGGGCGGGUGAGUAAUGCUUAGGAAUCUGCCUAUUAGUGGGGGACAACAUCUCGAAAGGGAUGCUAAUACCGCAUACGUCCUACGGGAGAAAGCAGGGGAUCACUUGUGACCUUGCGCUAAUAGAUGAGCCUAAGUCGGAUUAGCUAGGUGGUGGGGUAAGGCCUACCAAGGCGACGAUCUGUAGCGGGUCUGAGAGGAUGAUCCGCCACACUGGGACUGAGACACGGCCCAGACUCCUACGGGAGGCAGCAGUGGGGAAUAUUGGACAAUGGGGGGAACCCUGAUCCAGCCAUGCCGCGUGUGUGAAGAAGGCCUUAUGGUUGUAAAGCACUUUAAGCGAGGAGGAGGCUCUUUUGGUUAAUACCCAAGAUGAGUGGACGUUACUCGCAGAAUAAGCACCGGCUAACUCUGUGCCAGCCGCCGCGGUAA